CACACCGUAAACGUUGGGCGCUAGGUGUGGGAUCCAUUCCACGGGUUCCGUGCCGUAGCUAACGCAUUAAGCGCCCCGCCUGGGGAGUACGGCCGCAAGGCUAAAACUCAAAGGAAUUGACGGGGGCCCGCACAAGCGGCGGAGCAUGCGGAUUAAUUCGAUGCAACGCGAAGAACCUUACCUGGGUUUGACAUACAUCCUGCCGCUCCAGAGAUGGGGCUUCUUUUGGGGGUGUACAGGUGG
Molecule: ribosomal RNA, 243 nt
Filed under: uncultured Nocardioides sp.
Lineage: Bacteria; Bacillati; Actinomycetota; Actinomycetes; Propionibacteriales; Nocardioidaceae
Description: partial 16S ribosomal RNA
Rfam family: Bacterial small subunit ribosomal RNA
Source: RNAcentral